GCUCCUAUCGUCUAGCCCGGCCAAGGACUCCAGGCUUUCGAUCUGGCAACGCGGGUUCAAAUCCCGCUGGGAGCA
RNAcentral lists this transfer RNA (75 nucleotides) under Candidatus Aenigmatarchaeota archaeon. Its description in RNAcentral is "tRNA-Glu". It matches the Rfam family "tRNA". Rfam says of the family: Transfer RNA (tRNA) molecules are approximately 80 nucleotides in length. Their secondary structure includes four short double-helical elements and three loops (D, anti-codon, and T loops). Further hydrogen bonds mediate the characteristic L-shaped molecular structure. tRNAs have two regions of fundamental functional importance: the anti-codon, which is responsible for specific mRNA codon recognition, and the 3' end, to which the tRNAs corresponding amino acid is attached (by aminoacyl-tRNA synthetases). tRNAs cope with the degeneracy of the genetic code in two manners: having more than one tRNA (with a specific anti-codon) for a particular amino acid; and 'wobble' base-pairing, i.e. permitting non-standard base-pairing at the 3rd anti-codon position. The record is from RNAcentral. Lineage: Archaea; Nanobdellati; Candidatus Aenigmatarchaeota.